CCUACGGGGCGCAGCAGUGGGGAAUUUUGCGCAAUGGGGGAAACCCUGACGCAGCAACGCCGCGUGCGGGACGAAGGCCCUCGGGUCGUAAACCGCUUUCAGCAGGGAAGACCACGACGGUACCUGCAGAAGAAGCUCCGGCAAACUACGUGCCAGCAGCCGCGGUAAUACGUAGGGGGCGAGCGUUAUCCGGAUUCAUUGGGCGUAAGGCGCGCGUGGGCGGCCGCCUAAGCGGAACCUCUAACCCCGGGGCUCAACCUGGGGCCGGGUUCCGGACUGGGCGGCUCGAGUGCGGUAGAGGAGAGCGGAAUUCCAGGUGUAGCGGUGGAAUGCGCAGAGAUCGGGAAGAACACCGAUGGCGAAGGCAGCCCUCUGGGCCGUGACUGACGCUGAGGUGCGAAAGCUGGGAGAGCGAACAGGAUUAGAUACCCGAGUAGUC
This 439-nucleotide ribosomal RNA is filed under the name uncultured bacterium. RNAcentral describes it as "partial 16S ribosomal RNA". It matches the Rfam family "Bacterial small subunit ribosomal RNA", at positions 338 to 795 of the family's 1533-position model. The record is from RNAcentral.